CAGGGAGACAACAAAAUGUUUAAUAUUAUUAUUUUGUCACCUUAGGUCGAUCGGUAUCUCACGUUUUUAAUUAAUUAAAAAUUUCAUUUCCUAAGUUUUUUCUAGGUCACACCCAUUAUUUUUCCUGGGCCAUUAGCUCAGGUGGUUAGAGCGCACCCCUGAUAAGGGUGAGGUCCCUGGUUCAAGUCCAGGAUGGCCCAUAUCUCUAUGUUGGGGGUAUAGCUCAGUUGGUAGAGCGCCUGCUUUGCAAGCAGGAUGUCAGCGGUUCGAGUCCGCUUACCUCCACUGAUUACCACCUCUUCCAUAAUCUUAAGGAAACAUUUUGAGUAGUGAUCUAAUUCUGAACGAAGCUAGCUUCCUAAUGAAAUCAUUAAGAUGCUGGACUAAUUGAAUUAAUUUCAUUGUUUUCAGAGAACCUUGACAACUGCAUAGAUUAUUUUUAAAGACAAUAAGCAUCUUUAAUGAUGCAGAUUUAUUAUUUGUGCGAAUGCAUUAAUAACAAUUCUAUUAAGCUGAUGCUUCAAUUUUGAAGUUAUU
RNAcentral lists this transfer RNA (537 nucleotides) under uncultured cyanobacterium. RNAcentral's name for it is "partial 16S-23S ribosomal RNA intergenic spacer". The stretch from base 213 to 285 matches the Rfam family "tRNA". Lineage: Bacteria; Bacillati; Cyanobacteriota. The record is from RNAcentral.